UACGUAGGGGGCAAGCGUUGUCCGGAUUUAUUGGGCGUAAAGAGCGUGUAGGCGGCCAGGUAGGUCGGUUGUGAAAACUGGAGGCUCAACCUCCAGACGUCGACCGAAACCAUCUGGCUAGAGUCCGGAAGAGGAGAGUGGAAUUCCGUGGUGUAGCGGUGAAAUGCGCAGAUAUCAGGAAGAACACCCGUGGCGAAAGCGGCUCUCUGGGACGGUACUGACGCUGAGACGCGAAAGCGUGGGGAGCGAACAGG
Molecule: ribosomal RNA, 254 nt
Filed under: uncultured bacterium
Lineage: Bacteria
Description: partial 16S ribosomal RNA
Rfam family: Bacterial small subunit ribosomal RNA
Source: RNAcentral